AUGUUUUAUCAUAGAGACAUCAGAAAGCCUGAUGACGGUGAGACUGUUGAAGCUGUGGUUGUUCUCAGGUUAGUUAGAAUACCUCUACUACAUCUCUAUAGUCUACUCUGUCCUGGAUCAGUUUGCCUUGCUCUUCCUUUUAGUCAUGCUCAUCAUAAUCUCACUUUUAGUGACCAAGGAGGUGAGCCAGGAGAGGAGAGCAGGCAGCCCAUGGACAAUGAAGAGACAGGCGCUGACAACCCUCUGCUGAAUGGAGAUGCCAGUGGCCAAGGAGAGGAAGGUGUUCUAGGAAUGGAGGAUGGAAAGCUGUCAGACAAGGACAGAGCAGACACUGAAAUCUGUCAGAAGACACAUGCUGAUUCCCCUCCACUGAAUGUACCCAAGGUUGUCAGGGUUAACAGCCAGACUGAUGACACACAGCUUCUUGGUCAACCUCAGAGCAAUGGACAUGUGCCAUAUAGAAGGGUUAACGAUGAGACUAAGGAAGCAACUCCUGGUGCACAGAGUCCAGGACCUCCUCAGAUGAAUGGAGGUCCUCCCAUGUCUGACAGGUUGGAGAACAACCCUGUUGGUCAGCGCAUGAAGAAAACUGCUCUGGUGAACAAGCAGGACCAGGACUGGUCAGCAACGGCAUGUAGCCAGUUGAAAAUAUAUAGUAUAUAAGAUGAAACUAAGUGUAAAUAUAACAUUAUAUACACUGUAAUAUAGAACAGUAUAAUAUGACAUGAUAUACACUGUAAUAUAGAACAGUAUAAAAUAACAUGAUAUACACUGUAAUAUAAAACAGUAUAAUAUAAUAUGACAUGAUAUACACUGUAAUAUAGAACAGUAUAAUAUGACAUGAUAUACACUGUAAUAUAGAACAGUAUAAUAUGACAUGAUAUACACUGUAAUAUAGAACAGUAUAAUAUGACAUUAUAUACACUGUAAUAUAGAACAGUAUAAUAUGACAUGAUAUACACUGUAAUAUAGAACAGUAUAAUAUGACAG
Molecule: long non-coding RNA, 990 nt
Filed under: Oncorhynchus mykiss (rainbow trout)
Lineage: Eukaryota; Metazoa; Chordata; Actinopteri; Salmoniformes; Salmonidae
Description: lncRNA (ENSOMYG00000076946.1)
Source: RNAcentral